RNAcentral lists this ribosomal RNA (400 nucleotides) under uncultured bacterium. Its description in RNAcentral is "bacterial SSU rRNA". It matches the Rfam family "Bacterial small subunit ribosomal RNA", at positions 355 to 747 of the family's 1533-position model. The record is from RNAcentral.
UGGGGAAUCUUCCGCAAUGGACGAAAGUCUGACGGAGCGACGCCGCGUGAGUGAUGAAGGCCUUCGGGUCGUAAAGCUCUGUCAUCGGGGACGAAUGGUCGUUGGAGUGGAAAGCCAGCGAAAUGACGGUACCCGAGAAGGAAGCCACGGCUAACUACGUGCCAGCAGCCGCGGUAAUACGUAGGUGGCAAGCGUUGUCCGGAAUUAUUGGGCGUAAAGCGCGCGCAGGUGGGAUCUUAAGUCCAUUUUGAAAGUUCGGAGCUCAACUCCGUGAUGGGAUGGAAACUGGGAUUCUUGAGUACCGGAGAGGAAAGCGGAAUUCCCCGUGUAGCGGUGAAAUGCGUAGAUAUGGGGAGGAACACCAGUGGCGAAGGCGGCUUUCUGGACGGUGUCUGACACU